RNAcentral lists this ribosomal RNA (323 nucleotides) under uncultured Imbricatea. Its description in RNAcentral is "SSU rRNA". The stretch from base 105 to 323 matches the Rfam family "Eukaryotic small subunit ribosomal RNA", at positions 736 to 955 of the family's 1831-position model. The record is from RNAcentral. Lineage: Eukaryota; Cercozoa; Imbricatea.
GAUUUCUGGUUUGACGUGCCUGGCCCGCCGGCGUCAGCUGUGUGAGUGCCGGAGCGCGUCUGCCAUCCUUCUAGAAAACGGCCUUACCCUUCACUGGGCCGAGGUCGCGAUCUAGAUCUUUUACUUUGAAAAAAUUAGAGUGUUUAAAGCAGGCUUACGCUAUGAAUACAUUAGCAUGGAAUAAUAAUUUAGGACUUCGGUCUCUAUUUUGUUGGUUUCUAGAGCUGAAGUAAUGAUUGAUAGGGAUAGUUGGGGGUGCUAGUAUUCAGCGGCCAGAGGUGAAAUUCUUGGAUUCGCUGAAGACUAACUUAUGCGAAAGCAUU